This 1250-nucleotide long non-coding RNA is filed under the name Phoenix dactylifera (date palm). RNAcentral's name for it is "long non-coding RNA (PDAC_LNC000339)". The record is from RNAcentral. Lineage: Eukaryota; Viridiplantae; Streptophyta; Magnoliopsida; Arecales; Arecaceae.
GAUUUUUGGGGAAUUUAGUAACAAACUUUUCCAUAUCUAAAAGUACCUUUUCUUACAGUGCAUAUAAGAAAAAUCUAUGAUUCAACCAAUUUUGUCACAAUGAUUCAAUGACUCGAUCAAUUUCUAAAGAGCUGGCUUUUUUUCCUGCAGUUGCUAAAAAUAUUGUUGGAUCCCAAAAGAUUUUUUUUAUACAAUUGAGUAAUCCAAGAAGCCGCUGAAAUCUCUCCGACUUGGUUUCUUCCGAUCUCUACGCUACGCUAAAAGCUGUUCCUCUUUCCAAGCUAAUGAGCCGAAUGGUGGUUUUCGUCAUCUAAACCAGGGUUCCGAAAGACGGUUUUAACCUCACAUCGAAAAACUUUUAUAUUUCCUUGCGAGGGCAAUAUAAUAAAUCACAAUUCCCACAAGAAGUAUAAGCAAAAUAAACCCUGAAAUCCCUAAUCCCUCCCGAUCUUUCCCCGAUCGCUUUUCUGCUCUCCUUCUUCCUCUCCGCGGUCAUUCCAACCCUCAUCCUCUUCCGGCGAGCGAUGGCGUCAUCGACGACGGAUUAGGACGNNNNNNNNNNNNNNNNNNNNUCGCCGGCCGAGCCCUCGCUCUCGGCCUCGCGGUAUCUCUCUCUCUCUCUCUCUCUCUCUCUCUCUCUCUCUCUGUGACGCAAUCAAUUUUGGACGCCGUCUCCAAUUACAUCUCCGUCAACCUUUGGUUCACUCAACCCCGUUGCCAAUGGGGCAGCGACCGGCUUAAUUAUUUUUUUAAGAUUUCUUUUGGAAAAAAAUUAGAAGAAUGUUCAUUCUUUACUAAUUUAAUCAGGGAUCAGCUCUGUCUUAGAAUGUUUGUUCUACUCGUUUGAUUGAAAAUUAGAUUUGUUCUGAUCAAUUGUUUGAUAAUGAAUUUGCUGUGGAAAUUUCGAAACAUAUUUUAGAUUGCUUGAAUUUCAUUGAAUCUGCUUUACUUUCUGCUAAUGUUUGAUAUUUUGGUACUUCGGCGUUCUACUUGAUGAACCAUUAAUCAUCAAUAAAUUCUGCAUCUAUGUUUUUUAGCAUUAUAUCUAAGAUUUCUAUGAUUAUUUUAAUUUGUUUUAAUGUGAUUUUUAUGUAGCCAUAACUGAAUAAGGCUAACCGGAUCCCCGGGCCAGCAAGUUGGAAAGUGUUUGCUAGAAUGCGUUUGACAAUGUUGAUCUAUAAACAAUACAUUGAAACAUCAUAAAAAUUAUGCAUGUGAUUUCAAUAUAGAGUUGCUAUCAUACCCUCCUC